CUCUGGGCCGAUAGGACGCUCAGGGCGGAAAGAG
Molecule: non-coding RNA, 34 nt
Filed under: Paenibacillus terrae
Lineage: Bacteria; Bacillati; Bacillota; Bacilli; Caryophanales; Paenibacillaceae
Source: RNAcentral